This is a long non-coding RNA of Epinephelus lanceolatus (giant grouper), 2608 nucleotides long. RefSeq lists it as uncharacterized. The record is from RefSeq and is a predicted model, not a curated record. NCBI's taxonomy places the organism in Eukaryota, Metazoa, Chordata, Actinopteri, Perciformes, Serranidae.
UGUGGACGAGCUGAGUCUUUGAAUCUUCCUGCAAGUUCAGCCACAGAGCGCCGGGACGGAGCCUCCUCCUGAGGGAAGGACACAGGACGUCAGAAAACAACAACAACAACAACAACAACAUGCAAACUGAUCGUCAGCAGCAGAGAAACAUUAGAAGAAGUUUUACCUCCAUCCUGCUGGUCCUCUGUCAGCCGCCUCCUUUAUGUCGAGUAUGUGUCACAGAGGGAGCGCGGGGAGGCCUGCAGGAAACCAGUUAGAGUGAGAAGGCUGGAAACAAACUACACUGAGAGGAAGUAGGAGCAUCAGUACACAAGGUUGGUUUUCAUGGAAAUAAAACAAAGAUAUCAACCUGAAACCUGCUGGACAGUCAGUGAAGUCAUCGUCAGCGCCAGCACCUUGUCGCUCAGUGGGUGGAGCGGGCGGUGUCCUUGAAACAGCGGCUGUGGGUUCAGUUCCAGCCAGCGUCCUUUUCUGCAGAUGUAGUGAUAAUUCGGGUGAAGAGGAACCUGCAGCCUGUCGUUGCUCUGCAGCGUCUCCGUCUUCUCUGAGGGGAAGUUGAGUCACUCAAGUGGAGAAAAUUUCAACUUUCAUUUCUGCUUUUGUGUUUCUUCACUUCUGCCCCAAACCCAGCCUGACUCUGGUUGCAUAAGGACAAAAUCAGAAAGCAACAAACUCCAGGGCGGAGCACAAACGAACGCACCGCAACAAUAACCACUGAUUUCUCUGUGAGCGCAGAACUUUUGUUUCUGCAGCAGCAUCCGCUCCGUGUUUAAGAUUCUAACAGAUAAACAGAAACAGGUGUUCAUUUCAAAACGUUAAAAUCCUCCUCUUCUCUUAGGUCUAUCUCAGAUCAUCAUCUGACCAAUCAGCAUAGGCGGUUUGUCCUCGGAGCAGAGACACAGGACGUGGUUGGAGGGGAGGAGCCGAGCCAACAAGAAGACAGGAGGAAACCUUAUAAGAUUUCUGCUGACCCCAGCUUUAACUUGGGACUCGACUUGAGCCUUGCUCUCUUCACUCAGGACUCACUGGUCUUGACUUGUGACCUCUUGAGUGAUGUUGUGUUUUCACUUGUGACAUGUAUCUUUAAAAGUGUCACCAUGACCUUUAUUUUGAAGGGCCACACACCUGGUGUUAACUGAAUGUUCAGUUUCAGGUUCUUUGUUUACACUGCUGAAAUAUUUUAACAGUCAUUUUAAGGGAGAAUCAGCAGCUGAGUUUGACCCUCGACAGACCAAAUGUUUCCUCUCCUCAGUCUGCUGUUGUUUCCUGGCGGCUCUGUGCUGCCACCUGGUGGUGAAACAUCUCACACUCUGUGGCAGGUUUCCAGAGCAGCUAACAGGGACCGAUGAGCAGACUGUUCAUAUCCUGAAACAUCUUUAUACACAACAUGGGCUCAAAUUACAGGAGCCAUCCAUGUGUUUGACACUUUACGCACAAGGUCCUAUGUUUCCAACCGAGCGGCACGACUGUUACCGGAUAUAUAUCCUGUUUGAAUGACCUGUUUCCUGUCUGGAUAGUGCCAACACAUCGAGUAUGACUGACUCUGAGCCAAACCCUGCUGACACAGGCUGUGAUCUGCUCCUCCGCUAGAAGAACCAGAGGGAGGUGACAGAACCAGUUUCCAGUGUUCACACACUCCCAGGUGUGGAGCCGUGGACUGUGUCAUUUUUUGCCCAGGGGGUUUCGUGCUCCUGCCCUCCGGAUAGGCUGACCUGUUCCUCCAGACCAUCCAUUCUAACAUCAACCCUUGACAAAGUAUCAACAGACAGCAAUCAGAAUCAGAAAUACUUUAUUGAGAAAUUGUUGUGUUACAGGUGCUCCUUGCAAGAGAGGAAAGAUACAUGAAAAUAUAAGAAAUUUAAACAAUAGUAUUUAUGAAUACUAUACUAUACUAAUAGCAACUGUUUUUUUUUUUUUUUUCAACAUAUGAAAUGGAAAUUGACAACUUUUCAGCUAACUAGCUAGCGUGCUAGCUGUGCUAACUAAUGCUGGCAGCCUGAAACAAACAACUAUGAUUCAUUGUUGGUUAAUUGUGUUAUAAUUUAAACAAUGAACAUGCUGGCCUGUGGUCCCUCUAAUAUGAGCAGUGGUUUAAGUUAUUAUAGUCUAUUAUGAUCAGGGAGUUGAUACGCAGACAUUAGCUAGUGCUAGCAUGGCUAGCUAGUUGAAAUGUUGACUACUCCCAUUACUGUGUAGUGAUUGGUUGAAUUAAAAACUUUUAAAUGUUUGACUGACAGGCGAUUGUGAGCCUCCCAUUGGCCACAUUUAAACAUGAUUGACAGAUACCCCACCGCCUCAAGCUCGCACAUGCGCACGUCUAAAAUGGUGGCUCUCCGGCUCUGCAGGUGGAUGAUAUUGGAAAUAUACAAUACCAACAUUUACUCUGGUGACUGGGCUGCGAACUCAGCUGCAUGAGAGCAAAAUGUACAAUGAAGUCGUCCAGCACCAUUUUAUUCAUGUGAAAGCAGAACUGAUUGAUUCAAGAUCAUGAAUUGACCUAUGGCUAAGCCACGCCCCCUCCACUCACUCAGACAAACUAUCAACAUUCAGUGACUGGCGCUAUGGCAGGUGUCACAGUACACGGCAUUUCACAGGAGGCAACUGAUGA